GACUUGAACCCUCACGGUCUAUAAAGCCAACGGAUUUUAAGUCCGUAGCGUUCC
RNAcentral lists this transfer RNA (54 nucleotides) under Pinus halepensis. RNAcentral describes it as "partial tRNA-Leu". The record is from RNAcentral. Lineage: Eukaryota; Viridiplantae; Streptophyta; Pinopsida; Pinales; Pinaceae. RNAcentral also lists the same sequence under 1 other name.